AAAUAUUUGUUCUUAUGGGAUGGAUUCGCUUCUGACUGCAUUUCUUUUGUGGAUGGGAGUGCCAUAGAGAAGGAGGAGCCCAGCUCAGCUAUCCUCCGAUCCAGGAGCAGUGAAUGUCGUGUCUUUCCUUCCUCAUCCCCUUCUUUCCUGGGAGCUGCUGCAUUCACCUGUCCCUUCAAGGACCACAGAAGAGCAAAAUGUGUAGCACCCCACAGAUCUCAGGAAGUAUCAGGCUGCCUUUGAAGCUCAGCCACUGAGGAUGCAUUGAGGGGGACACCCAAUAUGUAAAGGGAAGAGUGAAAGAGGGUUCCUGCAGCACCAGGACCACAGCCUUGUCUUCACGCAUCUUUCAGGUAAGAAGUGUGACAGUUUUCCAUGCAAGUGUGAUUGGAUUCUUCAGUCCUUGGCACAAUCCCAUCGACCUCUGAUAUCUCUUACGUUUCAGGCAACAUGUUUCUUUGUUGUUUGAGUUUCAGGCAGAGCCACUCAGCAAAAUGUUCCAGUGUAGCCUGGUUGGAUUUCUCUCACUUUUCCUCCUAUUUCCUCUUUAACAGGAUUGAAAUCAAGACAUACAUUGAAGCAGAUAAUGGUUAGUUCUAGUAAUUCUGGUUGUCUUUAAGUAAGGAAAACUUUUUCAAGUUCCUCACCUUAUGCACAUGAAAAAUCACUUUCGAGGUGGAGAAUUUGUUUAUUUCUGGUAUAAGUGCUUGAUUCAUUUGCUUUAAACCACAACCUUUGUGUAAGCUGCUCCUUACUGACUUUGGUCUCAGCAGUAGCUGUUUUGCCAGAGGUAGCAAUUUGAUCUCUGUCGUACUAAUCUGUCUUUGUUUUUCUGUUGUC
This is a long non-coding RNA of Myiozetetes cayanensis, 840 nucleotides long. RefSeq lists it as uncharacterized. The record is from RefSeq and is a predicted model, not a curated record. The transcript has 4 exons. Lineage: Eukaryota; Metazoa; Chordata; Aves; Passeriformes; Tyrannidae.